RNAcentral lists this unclassified non-coding RNA (291 nucleotides) under plant metagenome. RNAcentral's name for it is "partial contains small subunit ribosomal RNA, internal transcribed spacer 1, and 5.8S ribosomal RNA". The record is from RNAcentral.
UCUCCGUUGGUGAACUAGCGGAGGGAUCAUUACGAAGAGAGGGGGGCCGCCCGCGACCCCCCCCGCCCCCAACACCACUGUGAACCUUACCUGAGAGUUUUUCUCCUUGCCUCGGCAGGCGGCACCCGGGGGGGGCCCCGGGCCUCCCUCCCUGCGGGGAGGAGGCGCCUGCCGGGCGGGACAGACCACUGGAACUCUGUUGUAGACCGUCCUCUGAGCGAGAUUUUAGGGCCUACCCUCACGGGCGGCUCGAAUCAGUAAAAACUUUCAACAACGGAUCUCUUGGUUCUG